Macaca mulatta (Rhesus monkey) is the source of this 1141-nucleotide long non-coding RNA. RefSeq lists it as uncharacterized. The record is from RefSeq and is a predicted model, not a curated record. NCBI's taxonomy places the organism in Eukaryota, Metazoa, Chordata, Mammalia, Primates, Cercopithecidae.
AUUUGAAAUUUAAGACAGAGAUUUACACGAUUUAUUUGCAAAGGGAAUGAAUUAAAAUGCUUUGAAUGACAAAUGGUGGUUAUAGUUGAAGGGAGACGCUAUGGGGAUUUUCUACCUUCAUUUUUUUUUUUUUUUUUUUACAUUUCUCUAUUAUUUGGAAUUUUGUAACAUGUAAGUAUUAUUUUUUAAAAUUGGAAGAAUAAUAGAUUUAGGUGCAAGCAAAUUACAACAUUCAAAUUCUAGGACUGACUUAUUUUUCCACUAACUUUUAACCAACUCUUUCUUCCUUUAAUGAAGAUUCUCUAGGGAGGUUGUAAUGAACCAACUGCCAUAUUGGAUCAUCCUUUUAAGAAGUCUGAAACAUCUAGCCAACUUGCCUCAAAAUCUUUUCCAAUUACUUUCCUCACCUGUGAAGGACCCUCCUUAUUCUAUUGUUUUGACAGCUUGACUCUCAGCCCCACCACUUGCCUACGGGCCUCUACGUCACCUUGAUACCAUUCUCCUACGACAUGGUUAGAGGACAGCGUCAUACCCACGUGUUGAGGAAAACCAGGGCAAGUGUCUGCUGGGAGUUAGGGAGCAGGAGAGGUGGAUCCUGCUGUGAUGGAGGAGCAGGAUCUUGGAGUAGUGAGAUGUUGAUCUCUGUAUAAUCUUCACAUCACUGCAAAUUCCUCUGACAGAGCCUUAGCUGUCUAACUUUGUCUUCUUGUUUCUUCCCAUCAGGUCUUCAAGAACCUCAGCUCUUUAACAAUGAGACUCCAUGUUUUCCUCACUGCUCUUUUUGCCAUCUUCCAGGUACUACCCGGCAUCACUAAGGCACUCCAUUUUGAAAGACCCUGCUACCUUAGAGGUGGGAUCUGUCUGAAGCGAGGAACACCGAAUUGUGAGCCUUUCAGAGGACCCUGCAGAGCUUUCACCGUUUGCUGUAAAAUAAGGAGAAGCUGAUGGAGAAGCCUGGCAAGGAACAUAGGCGCAGGAUCUGAAGCGUGGCUCCUUUAGUCCAAAUGAGAGCAAACAUUACUCAAGUCCACAUAACUGAUUAUUGUCAUUAGGACUGAUUAAAGAAAGAGAUGUUUCCCAUGAAGGGGUAAGCAUUAGGUAGGAGAAAAUUAUAAUUAAACUUGUAUUAUGUUUUAACGUU